CUAGCUCAAUUUUGAAAUUUCAAGGGGUACUGUAGGUUCAAAAAUACGCAAACACCGACUACA
RNAcentral lists this small RNA (63 nucleotides) under Caenorhabditis elegans. Its description in RNAcentral is "Unclassified non-coding RNA R06B10.8". The record is from RNAcentral. Lineage: Eukaryota; Metazoa; Nematoda; Chromadorea; Rhabditida; Rhabditidae.